UAGCCCAAAGGUCCAAAGU
This 19-nucleotide unclassified non-coding RNA is filed under the name Mus musculus (house mouse). Its description in RNAcentral is "oocyte_clustered_small_RNA5898". The record is from RNAcentral. Lineage: Eukaryota; Metazoa; Chordata; Mammalia; Rodentia; Muridae.